This 2906-nucleotide ribosomal RNA is filed under the name Salmonella enterica. RNAcentral's name for it is "23S ribosomal RNA". It matches the Rfam family "Bacterial large subunit ribosomal RNA". RNAcentral also lists the same sequence under 5 other names. The record is from RNAcentral. Lineage: Bacteria; Pseudomonadati; Pseudomonadota; Gammaproteobacteria; Enterobacterales; Enterobacteriaceae.
GGUUAAGCGACUAAGCGUACACGGUGGAUGCCCUGGCAGUCAGAGGCGAUGAAGGGCGUGCUAAUCUGCGAUAAGCGCCGGUAAGGUGAUAUGAACCGUUAUAACCGGCGAUACCCGAAUGGGGAAACCCAGUGUGUUUCGACACACUAUCAUUAACUGAAUCCAUAGGUUAAUGAGGCGAACCGGGGGAACUGAAACAUCUAAGUACCCCGAGGAAAAGAAAUCAACCGAGAUUCCCCCAGUAGCGGCGAGCGAACGGGGAGGAGCCCAGAGCCUGAAUCAGCAUGUGUGUUAGUGGAAGCGUCUGGAAAGGCGCGCGAUACAGGGUGACAGCCCCGUACACAAAAGCGCAUGUGCUGUGAGCUCGAUGAGUAGGGCGGGACACGUGGUAUCCUGUCUGAAUAUGGGGGGACCAUCCUCCAAGGCUAAAUACUCCUGACUGACCGAUAGUGAACCAGUACCGUGAGGGAAAGGCGAAAAGAACCCCGGCGAGGGGAGUGAAAAAGAACCUGAAACCGUGUACGUACAAGCAGUGGGAGCACCCUUUGGGGUGUGACUGCGUACCUUUUGUAUAAUGGGUCAGCGACUUAUAUUCUGUAGCAAGGUUAACCGAAUAGGGGAGCCGGAGGGAAACCGAGUCUUAAUUGGGCGUUAAGUUGCAGGGUAUAGACCCGAAACCCGGUGAUCUAGCCAUGGGCAGGUUGAAGGUUGGGUAACACUAACUGGAGGACCGAACCGACUAAUGUUGAAAAAUUAGCGGAUGACCUGUGGCUGGGGGUGAAAGGCCAAUCAAACCGGGAGAUAGCUGGUUCUCCCCGAAAGCUAUUUAGGUAGCGCCUCGUGAAUUCAUCUCCGGGGGUAGAGCACUGUUUCGGCUAGGGGGCCAUCCCGGCUUACCAACCCGAUGCAAACUGCGAAUACCGGAGAAUGUUAUCACGGGAGACACACGGCGGGUGCUAACGUCCGUCGUGAAGAGGGAAACAACCCAGACCGCCAGCUAAGGUCCCAAAGUCAUGGUUAAGUGGGAAACGAUGUGGGAAGGCCCAGACAGCCAGGAUGUUGGCUUAGAAGCAGCCAUCAUUUAAAGAAAGCGUAAUAGCUCACUGGUCGAGUCGGCCUGCGCGGAAGAUGUAACGGGGCUAAACCAUGCACCGAAGCUGCGGCAGCGACGCUGAUGCGUUGUUGGGUAGGGGAGCGUUCUGUAAGCCUGCGAAGGUGGCCUGUGAGGGUUGCUGGAGGUAUCAGAAGUGCGAAUGCUGACAUAAGUAACGAUAAAGCGGGUGAAAAGCCCGCUCGCCGGAAGACCAAGGGUUCCUGUCCAACGUUAAUCGGGGCAGGGUGAGUCGACCCCUAAGGCGAGGCCGAAAGGCGUAGUCGAUGGGAAACGGGUUAAUAUUCCCGUACUUGGUGUUACUGCGAAGGGGGGACGGAGAAGGCUAUGUUGGCCGGGCGACGGUUGUCCCGGUUUAAGCGUGUAGGUGUGUGUUCCAGGUAAAUCCGGUUCACUUUAACACUGAGGCGUGAUGACGAGGCACUACGGUGCUGAAGCAACAAAUGCCCUGCUUCCAGGAAAAGCCUCUAAGCAUCAGGUAACAUCAAAUCGUACCCCAAACCGACACAGGUGGUCAGGUAGAGAAUACCAAGGCGCUUGAGAGAACUCGGGUGAAGGAACUAGGCAAAAUGGUGCCGUAACUUCGGGAGAAGGCACGCUGACACGUAGGUGAAGUGAUUUACUCAUGGAGCUGAAGUCAGUCGAAGAUACCAGCUGGCUGCAACUGUUUAUUAAAAACACAGCACUGUGCAAACACGAAAGUGGACGUAUACGGUGUGACGCCUGCCCGGUGCCGGAAGGUUAAUUGAUGGGGUCAGCGCAAGCGAAGCUCCUGAUCGAAGCCCCGGUAAACGGCGGCCGUAACUAUAACGGUCCUAAGGUAGCGAAAUUCCUUGUCGGGUAAGUUCCGACCUGCACGAAUGGCGUAAUGAUGGCCAGGCUGUCUCCACCCGAGACUCAGUGAAAUUGAACUCGCUGUGAAGAUGCAGUGUACCCGCGGCAAGACGGAAAGACCCCGUGAACCUUUACUAUAGCUUGACACUGAACAUUGAGCCUUGAUGUGUAGGAUAGGUGGGAGGCUUUGAAGUGUGGACGCCAGUCUGCAUGGAGCCGGCCUUGAAAUACCACCCUUUAAUGUUUGAUGUUCUAACGUGGACCCGUGAUCCGGGUUGCGGACAGUGUCUGGUGGGUAGUUUGACUGGGGCGGUCUCCUCCUAAAGAGUAACGGAGGAGCACGAAGGUUGGCUAAUCCUGGUCGGACAUCAGGAGGUUAGUGCAAUGGCAUAAGCCAGCUUGACUGCGAGCGUGACGGCGCGAGCAGGUGCGAAAGCAGGUCAUAGUGAUCCGGUGGUUCUGAAUGGAAGGGCCAUCGCUCAACGGAUAAAAGGUACUCCGGGGAUAACAGGCUGAUACCGCCCAAGAGUUCAUAUCGACGGCGGUGUUUGGCACCUCGAUGUCGGCUCAUCACAUCCUGGGGCUGAAGUAGGUCCCAAGGGUAUGGCUGUUCGCCAUUUAAAGUGGUACGCGAGCUGGGUUUAGAACGUCGUGAGACAGUUCGGUCCCUAUCUGCCGUGGGCGCUGGAGAACUGAGGGGGGCUGCUCCUAGUACGAGAGGACCGGAGUGGACGCAUCACUGGUGUUCGGGUUGUCAUGCCAAUGGCACUGCCCGGUAGCUAAAUGCGGAAGAGAUAAGUGCUGAAAGCAUCUAAGCACGAAACUUGCCCCGAGAUGAGUUCUCCCUGAGACUUAGAGUCUCCUGAAGGAACGUUGAAGACGACGACGUUGAUAGGCCGGGUGUGUAAGCGCAGCGAUGCGUUGAGCUAACCGGUACUAAUGAACCGUGAGGCUUAACCUU